UUGCCAAAAAGACGUUUACGUUAUGCUCGUAGGCGUCGCCCAAGGAUGAGGCCGCGACCGAUCAGGUUGUUGGUGAGGUAAUGGCUCACCAAGCCUUUUACCGGUGCGGGCCGUGAGAGCGGGAGCCCGGAGAUGGGCACUGAGACAAGGGCCCAGGCCCUACGGGGCGCAGCAGUCGCGAAAACUUUGCAAUACACGAAAGUGUGACAGGGCUAUCCCGAGUGCCAUCCGCUGAGGAAGGCUUUUACCCAGUCUAGAACGCUGGGGGAAUAAGGAGAGGGCAAGUCUGGUGUCAGCCGCCGCGGUAAUACCAGCUCUCCGAGUGGUGUGGAUGUUUAUUGGGCCUAAAGCAUCCGUAGCUGGCUGAGUUAGUCCCUUGUUAAAUCCACCGAAUUAAUCGUUGGAUUGCGGAGGAUACUGCUCGGCUAGGGGACGAGAGAGGCAGACGGUAUUUCCGGGGUAGGGGUGAAAUCCUAUAAUCCCGGGAAGACCACCAGUGGCGAAGGCUGUCUGCUAGAACGCGCCCGACGGUGAGGGAUGAAAGCUGGGGGAGCGAACCGGAUUAGAUACCCGGGUAGUCCCAGCUGUAAACGAUGCAGGCUAGGUGUUUGGACGGCCACGUGCCGUUCUAGUGCCGCAGGGAAGCUGUUAAGCCUGCCGCCUGGGGAGUACGAUCGCAAGAUUGAAACUUAAAGGAAUUGGCGGGGGAGCACCACAAGGGGUGAAGCUUGCGGUUUAAUUGGAUUCAACGCCGGGAAUCACUAUUGAAUUCUCCG
Molecule: ribosomal RNA, 776 nt
Filed under: uncultured archaeon
Lineage: Archaea
Description: bacterial SSU rRNA
Rfam family: Archaeal small subunit ribosomal RNA
Source: RNAcentral